AGCUAGAGUCUUGUAGAGGGGGGUAGAAUUCCAUGUGUAGCGGUGAAAUGCGUAGAGAUGUGGAGGAAUACCGGUGGCGAAGGCGGCCCCCUGGACAAGACUGACGCUCAGGUGCGAAAGCGUGGGGAGCAAACGGGAUUAGAUACCCUGGUAGUCCACGCUGUAAACGAUGUCGAUUUGAAGGUUGUUCCCUUGAGGAGUGGCUUUCGGAGCUAACGCGUUAAAUCGACCGCCUGGGGAGUACGGCCGCAAGGUUAAAACUCAAAUGAAUUGACGGGGGCCCGCACAAGCGGUGGAGCAUGUGGUUUAAUUCGAUGCAACGCGAAGAACCUUACCUACUCUUGACAUCCAGAGAACUUAGCAGAGAUGCUUUGGUGCCUUCGGGAACUCUGAGACAGGUGCUGCAUGGCUGUCGUCAGCUCGUGUUGUGAAAUGUUGGGUUAAGUCCCGCAACGAGCGCAACCCUUAUCCUUUGUUGCCAGCGAUUCGGUCGGGAACUCAAAGGAGACUGCCGGUGAUAAACCGGAGGAAGGUGGGGAUGACGUCAAGUCAUCAUGGCCCUUACGAGUAGGGCUACACACGUGCUACAAUGGCGUAUACAAAGAGAAGCGACCUCGCGAGAGCAAGCGGAACUCAUAAAGUACGUCGUAGUCCGGAUUGGAGUCUGCAACUCGACUCCAUGAAGUCGGAAUCGCUAGUAAUCGUAGAUCAGAAUGCUACGGUGAAUACGUUCCCGGGCCUUGUACACACCGCCCGUCACACCAUGGGAGUGGGUUGCAAAAGAAGUAGGUAGCUUAACCUUCGGGAGGGCGCUUACCACUUUGUGAUUCAUGACUGGGGUGAAGUCGUAACAAGGUAACCA
RNAcentral lists this ribosomal RNA (862 nucleotides) under uncultured Providencia sp. Its description in RNAcentral is "bacterial SSU rRNA". It matches the Rfam family "Bacterial small subunit ribosomal RNA", at positions 639 to 1502 of the family's 1533-position model. Lineage: Bacteria; Pseudomonadati; Pseudomonadota; Gammaproteobacteria; Enterobacterales; Morganellaceae. The record is from RNAcentral.